AGUUUGAUCCUGGCUCAGGAUGAACGCUGGCGGCGUGCCUAAUACAUGCAAGUCGAACGCACUGUGGUUCAACUGAUUUGAAGAGCUUGCUCUGAUAUGACGAUGAACAUUGCAGUGAGUGGCGAACGGGUGAGUAACACGUGGGAAACCUACCUCUUAGCGGGGGAUAACAUCUGGAAACAGAUGCUAAUACCGCAUAACACUAGCAACCGCAUGGUUGCUACUUGAAAGAUGGUUCUGCUAUCACUAAGAGAUGGUCCCGCGGCGCAUUAGUUAGUUGGUGAGGUAAUGGCUCACCAAGACGAUGAUGCGUAGCCGAGUUGAGAGACUGAUCGGCCACAAUGGGACUGAGACACGGCCCAUACUCCUACGGGAGGCAGCAGUAGGGAAUCUUCCACAAUGGACGAAAGUCUGAUGGAGCAACGCCGCGUGUGUGAUGAAGGGUUUCGGCUCGUAAAACACUGUUGUAAGAGAAGAAUAGCAUCAAGAGUAACUGCUUGGUGUGUGACGGUAUCUUACCAGAAAGGAACGGCUAAAUACGUGCCAGCAGCCGCGGUAAUACGUAUGUUCCAAGCGUUAUCCGGAUUUAUUGGGCGUAAAGCGAGCGCAGACGGUUUUUUAAGUCCGAAGUGAAAGCCCACAGCUUAACUGUGGAAGUGCUUUGGAAACUGGAUGACUUGAGUGCAGUAGAGGAGAGU
RNAcentral lists this ribosomal RNA (698 nucleotides) under uncultured bacterium. Its description in RNAcentral is "bacterial SSU rRNA". It matches the Rfam family "Bacterial small subunit ribosomal RNA", at positions 10 to 662 of the family's 1533-position model. The record is from RNAcentral.